This 407-nucleotide ribosomal RNA is filed under the name Salmonella enterica. Its description in RNAcentral is "bacterial SSU rRNA". It matches the Rfam family "Bacterial small subunit ribosomal RNA", at positions 1115 to 1522 of the family's 1533-position model. The record is from RNAcentral. RNAcentral also lists the same sequence under 6 other names. Lineage: Bacteria; Pseudomonadati; Pseudomonadota; Gammaproteobacteria; Enterobacterales; Enterobacteriaceae.
UUGCCAGCGAUUAGGUCGGGAACUCAAAGGAGACUGCCAGUGAUAAACUGGAGGAAGGUGGGGAUGACGUCAAGUCAUCAUGGCCCUUACGACCAGGGCUACACACGUGCUACAAUGGCGCAUACAAAGAGAAGCGACCUCGCGAGAGCAAGCGGACCUCAUAAAGUGCGUCGUAGUCCGGAUUGGAGUCUGCAACUCGACUCCAUGAAGUCGGAAUCGCUAGUAAUCGUGGAUCAGAAUGCCACGGUGAAUACGUUCCCGGGCCUUGUACACACCGCCCGUCACACCAUGGGAGUGGGUUGCAAAAGAAGUAGGUAGCUUAACCUUCGGGAGGGCGCUUACCACUUUGUGAUUCAUGACUGGGGUGAAGUCGUAACAAGGUAACCGUAGGGGAACCUGCGGUUGGA